UGGGGAAUAUUGCACAAUGGAGGGAACUCUGAUGCAGCGACGCCGCGUGAACGAAGAAGGCUUUCGAGUCGUAAAGUUCUUUUAUAUGGGAAGAUAAUGACGGUACCAUAAGAAAAAGCCCCGGCUAACUACGUGCCAGCAGCCGCGGUAAUACGUAGGGGGCUAGCGUUGUCCGGAAUCACUGGGCGUAAAGGGUUCGCAGGCGGAAAUGCAAGUCAGGUGUAAAAGGCAGUAGCUUAACUACUGUAAGCAUUUGAAACUGCAUAUCUUGAGAAGAGGAGAGGUAAGUGGAAUUUUUAGUGUAGCGGUGAAAUGCGUAGAUAUUAAAAAGAAUACCGGUGGCGAAGGCGACUUACUGGGCUCAUUCUGACGCUGAGGAACGAAAGCGUGGGUAGCAAACAGG
Molecule: ribosomal RNA, 403 nt
Filed under: bacterium
Lineage: Bacteria
Also listed under: 2 other names
Description: partial 16S ribosomal RNA
Rfam family: Bacterial small subunit ribosomal RNA
Source: RNAcentral